UACGUAGGGUGCAAGCGUUGUCCGGAAUUAUUGGGCGUAAAGAGCUCGUAGGCGGUCUGUCGCGUCGGCUGUGAAAACUCGGGGCUCAACUCCGAGCUUGCAGUCGAUACGGGCAGGCUAGAGUUCGGCAGGGGAGACUGGAAUUCCUGGUGUAGCGGUGAAAUGCGCAGAUAUCAGGAGGAACACCGGUGACGAAGGCGGGUCUCUGGGCCGAUACUGACGCUGAGGAGCGAAAGCGUGGGGAGCGAACAGG
RNAcentral lists this ribosomal RNA (253 nucleotides) under uncultured bacterium. Its description in RNAcentral is "partial 16S ribosomal RNA". It matches the Rfam family "Bacterial small subunit ribosomal RNA", at positions 524 to 776 of the family's 1533-position model. The record is from RNAcentral.